Molecule: ribosomal RNA, 253 nt
Filed under: uncultured bacterium
Lineage: Bacteria
Description: partial 16S ribosomal RNA
Rfam family: Bacterial small subunit ribosomal RNA
Source: RNAcentral
UACGGAGGGUGCAAGCGUUGUCCGGAAUCACUGGGCGUAAAGGGCGCGUAGGCGGCCUGGUAAGUAGGGGGUGAAAUCCUGCGGCUUAACCGCAGGGCUGCCUUCUAAACUGUCAGGCUUGAGCACGGUAGAGGCAGAUGGAAUUCCCGGUGUAGCGGUGGAAUGCGUAGAGAUCGGGAAGAACAUCAGUGGUGAAGGCGGUCUGCUGGGCCGUUGCUGACGCUGAGGAGCGAAAGCUAGGGGAGCAAACGGG